This 320-nucleotide long non-coding RNA is filed under the name Capra hircus (goat). Its description in RNAcentral is "lncRNA (ENSCHIG00010021727.1)". Lineage: Eukaryota; Metazoa; Chordata; Mammalia; Artiodactyla; Bovidae. The record is from RNAcentral.
UAACAAGAUCAAUAGCCCUAUGGGCUGAGCCUUAUGAUGUCAAGCCCUGGCAGCUCCCUCCAGAUUCCUUAAAAGCAAGCACGCUUUUUGCUUUCUCAUCUGUUCAUUACCAGCAGUCAACUUUUGUCUUUUUUUGAGUGUAUGGAAGGGCUAUAAUUUAUUUACAAAUAAUAUUUAAUAUAGGCAAUGGCAGCCUGCAGCAGAAAGCCAGACAGACUCUUCUCAUCUCUCCUUGGAAUAGCAGAGCAUGGCCAACAAGGAGGUGCUGGAGGAGAAAGAAAAGCAGAUAAUCAGGUCACUCUUGGAUAGUGUCGGACAUU